CAAAACGGCAGAGCCCUGACCCACCAGGUAAUUGUAUAUUGAAUACAUCUUGGCUCAAACCAGGGAUGAUUUUGCUUAAAUGAACUAAGGGCAGAACUGCAUGUUGUAAGUCAUAUGAAACAAGACCGGUGCGCUGGGUAAUUAAAGAUGCAAACUAGCAGCGUAAGAUGUUUGCAGACGGAAAGUACAUAUCAUUGACUUUAAAGGGAUGAGACGGGAUGGGGGAAGGACCGUUUCUAUUUAAUGAGUGGAUUUCAGGCUUCUAUAUGGGUAUGAAAAAAAAAGGAAGUCAUUCAAACCUAGCUCUAUUUUUUUUUUCUUUUUAUAUUAGAAGAAGAAAGAUGACAGAUACCGGUUGUCCAGAGCCCAGAACUGCUCUUAUCAUCCUGCAGAUGCACAGAGAGGGGCAAAGAAGACUCAGCUGUUAAACACUACACUGGAAAUGAAGUUUUGAAGUGGGUGCACGUUGACCAGGAGAAAGUGUGCAUUAACUUGAGGGGAAAGGGUCCAGUGAAUUCCAAGAACAGCAGGAGGAGUCUAAAAAGAAGUCGUGUCCUGCUGACGUAUUAAGAAUUUACAGAUGCACUGGGAUGGUGGCUGUAGGGAAGUCGUGAAGUGUAAGGGAGACUGGGUGGGGAGAAGGGUCUUUAACUCUAUGAGGGGGUGCCCAUACACAUUAAUGUAGAGGAGAUAACAUCUUGUUCUGUCUUGGAAAGAGACCACAUUGGUUCAUGGGACUGUCUACUGCCCUGAGGACAAGUGCCCAAUAAAGGCUACUGACAGGCUGACUGCAGCUGGAGAGGGUCACCAAGAUGACUCAGAGGGCACUCUACAGAGUCCUACUGCCCGCACAGGGUCAUUUUGCUGCAGAGUUCAAGAAGACACAGCUGUUGGAUCUGAUGACUGCCUUCACACAGCAGGGACUGUCACUUCAGGUAUCAACCAGACUAUGGAAAAGCUUAAUGAAAUAAUGCACAAAAGACUCAUAAGCAUCAGUGAAAUCUCUCAAGUAACCAAGCACCUUAUUUAUGAAAGAGCUCAGAUACUAUUACUUCUUAAGCCUUCGUCUGGAGGAAUCCAUCAAUGUCCUUUUUCAAACUCUAAAAACACUCUCCAAAGAAGAAAGCUUUCCUAGAAAGCAAUGAAUGAAAAUUCUGAAAUAUGUAUAAUAAAAGGAGAAUUCACUUGUAGUUACCUGUUUUC
Molecule: long non-coding RNA, 1203 nt
Filed under: Vulpes vulpes (red fox)
Lineage: Eukaryota; Metazoa; Chordata; Mammalia; Carnivora; Canidae
Description: lncRNA (ENSVVUG00000028783.1)
Source: RNAcentral